CGCACGGUGGACCCGGGAGGUGGCGGCUGCUCUUGUCGGCUCCGGGCGGCCCCCGCGCCGCAGCCCGCGCCCUGUCCGCGGCGGAGCCGCCCAGGAAAUGGACCCGAUGCCCUAAAAACGUAGCAGCAAAAGCAGGACUGGAAUCCAGACCCCCACCCUAAUUGGGACCUGGGAUCCUGGCCUUCUAACCCCACCUCAAGGCCCAGGCCUCCACGCGAGGAAACAGGCCCAGAGAGGGUGACUCACUUGCUCAGGGCACCCAGCCCUCCACCGAGACCACCCUCCCGCGAGCUCUCCCGCUUCCCAGUCCAGCCAACGUCGAGCACGUGGAAAAUGCCUGGCACAGUAGAUGUUUGUUGACUGACUGAUGGACGGAAUCAACGAAUGAGAGGAGACCAGUGUUUGUUACAGGAUCUCUGCAGGUGACGAUGAAAACAGGUCCAGCAAAAACAGAGCCGUAUUUUGAAUUCUAGCUGAAUGAACUGCCAGGACCCUC
Molecule: long non-coding RNA, 496 nt
Organism: Lagenorhynchus albirostris (white-beaked dolphin)
Lineage: Eukaryota; Metazoa; Chordata; Mammalia; Artiodactyla; Delphinidae
Exons: 3
Source: RefSeq, a predicted model, not a curated record